RNA transcript from Olea europaea var. sylvestris, 691 nucleotides. It is a transcript of the gene named 60S ribosomal protein L18a-2-like, with no coding region annotated. The record is from RefSeq and is a predicted model, not a curated record. The transcript has 3 exons. NCBI's taxonomy places the organism in Eukaryota, Viridiplantae, Streptophyta, Magnoliopsida, Lamiales, Oleaceae.
AUGCAAAUUCAUCAGUGAAAGGUGGUGGGGAGAGCUCUCCUGACGGAGGCGGAGGAGCAUCCGAAGAUCUGCCGAAUGAAACUCUGGGCCACUAAUGAAGUCCGUGCUAAAUCUAAGUUCUGGUAUUUUCUGAGGAAGCUUAAGAAGGUUAAGAAGAGUAACGAUCAGAUGCUCGCUUUCAAUGAGAUUUUUGAGAAGAACCCGACGACAAUCAAGAACUACGGCAUUUGGUUGCGAUACCAAAGCAGAACUGGGUAUCAUAACAUGUACAAGGAGUACCGUGAUACCACUCUGUAUGGUGCUGUUGAGCAGAUGUACACUGAGAUGGCUUCUCGUCACAGGGUCCGUUCUCAUUGCAUUCAAAUUAUCAAAACUGCCACUAUACCUGCCAAGCUCUGCAAGAGGGAGAGUACCAAACAAUUCCAUAACUCCAAGAUUAAGUUCCCCUUGGUGUUCAGGAAGGUGAGGCCACCAAGCAGGAAGCUCAAGACAACCUACAAGGCAUCUCGACCCAACUUGUUUAUGUAACAUGUUUGGUUUAUAUGGAGAAGUAUUGUUUGAUGUUUGGCUUUUUAGAUCAAUUUUAGAUUUCUUAAAAACAUCUUUGGUUGAUUCUUCGCUAGUUGUGUUGAACUCCAACUUGAUAAAUGUUUUGAAGUUGUACGGAUAUCUUUAUUAGAAAUCAAUAUAU